GUUAUAUGGUCAAGUGAAGAAGCGCAUACGGUGGAUGCCUUGGCAGUCAGAGGCGAUGAAAGACGUGGUAGCCUGCGAAAAGCUUCGGGGAGUCGGCAAACAGACUGUGAUCCGGAGAUAUCUGAAUGGGGGAACCCAGCCAUCAUAAGAUGGUUAUCUUGUACUGAAUACAUAGGUGCAAGAGGCGAACCAGGGGAACUGAAACAUCUAAGUACCCUGAGGAAAAGAAAUCAACCGAGAUUCCCUUAGUAGUGGCGAGCGAACGGGGACCAGCCCUUAAGUUGUAUUGAGAUUAGCGGAACGUUCUGGAAAGGACGGCCAUAGUGGGUGAUAGCCCUGUACGCGAAAAUCCCUUUGCAAUGAAAUCGAGUAGGACGGGGCACGAGAAACCUUGUCUGAAUAUGGGGGGA
RNAcentral lists this ribosomal RNA (410 nucleotides) under Pseudomonas syringae. RNAcentral's name for it is "partial 23S ribosomal RNA". It matches the Rfam family "Bacterial large subunit ribosomal RNA", at positions 1 to 452 of the family's 2925-position model. The record is from RNAcentral. Lineage: Bacteria; Pseudomonadati; Pseudomonadota; Gammaproteobacteria; Pseudomonadales; Pseudomonadaceae.